This 1276-nucleotide long non-coding RNA is filed under the name Manihot esculenta (cassava). RNAcentral describes it as "long non-coding RNA (MESC_LNC010433)". The record is from RNAcentral. Lineage: Eukaryota; Viridiplantae; Streptophyta; Magnoliopsida; Malpighiales; Euphorbiaceae.
AAGCUUGUGAGCAAUCGUCUCAUCAACCAGCCACUUUGCAUUUUUCACAGCUUCCCUCUGAAAAUAUAGAGGAAGAUCAAGUAUUAUUCAUGUCUCAACAUUAAAAGAAGAUUAAUCUCUCUUUAAUUUCAAUGAUUUUUUUACCUGAAAGGUUGAGUUUUUGGUGUAGCUGUAGGUGCCAUCUCCACCAUUCAUCGGAUGUGAUUCAGGCAUUGUGGCAGUGCUGUCGCUCAUCUCUCUUCUGUAUGUGCAAUGCCUCACGUUUUGGUACUUAUUUAUUCUCAUCAUCAUUCAUACUUUUCAAAUGUAACAUCAUGAAUUUUCACAACCUUAGUUUUGACAAUGAUCAAAAUUUGGGAUUGAAAUCUUGGAAAUUCAAAAUUUGCGACUUCAAGUAGUUUUACUAUCUUCAUAAAUCACGUGUGCUUUCUUUGACAAUUAUUUACAAGACAAGUCAGAGUAAAAAUGUGGGUUUUUUUCUUAUAUGAAAUGGUGUUUUAUUAGUUUCAACUCCACACAGAAUUUAGCAUGAAUAAAGCAAAUUAAGCAUAUUUAUUAUUGAAUUACUAGAAAUCACUGAUAACUAGUUGAAAAUUAUUUAUUUAUUAUACAUAUCACACAUAACAAGCACAAAAUUAAAUCAUUUGCGUUGAAGCACGUAGUAAGAUUGAAUUUUAUCCUUGUAAGCUCUUUCCAUCUUGUCGAAGACCUUGGGAAGUUGAUUUACCAGUAACUGAUCGAAUAUUUCAUCCACAAUUUCUUCUGAGAAGUGUUUGGAGAACAUUCCUUCCAUUGGAGCCCGGAUGUGCCUCACGUAUUCUUUCAUUUCAACAUGCACUGUAUCUUUUAGCCAAGGAGCUGGAUUUGUUAGUCCUAUUGCUUCAAUGUUGAAAUAGCCAUUCUUUUCCACUACAGCUGCAAAUUCUCCUGGAGGUGCUGCAUAUAUUGGCAAGUUGAAGGCAUCCACUUGCUCUUCACUUAUUGUUCCCUGUGACAAAAUAACAAUAGUAAUAAAUAAAUUAAGUGCACAAUAAAUUUUUAGCAUGCAACAUAAAGCAUAGGUCAUGCAUCCGAAUUAGGUUUUUGUACUCCAACCUUUUCAUGUAUAUGUUUAUUUCAAUGGUAAAAAACUCCUGCUAGUCAUAUGUAGGAUUUGUAGACGGCAUUUUUAUCACUAGUUUUAAAUCCGACAUAUAUAAACUCAAGACAGGUGAAUAUGAGUCUAUCGUCGACCAAAUUGCCCAAUUGAGAUAUAUACCUUUUUUGCCAUGUCAAG